RNAcentral lists this ribosomal RNA (2891 nucleotides) under Acinetobacter baumannii 25569_1. RNAcentral describes it as "bacterial LSU rRNA". It matches the Rfam family "Bacterial large subunit ribosomal RNA". Lineage: Bacteria; Pseudomonadati; Pseudomonadota; Gammaproteobacteria; Moraxellales; Moraxellaceae. The record is from RNAcentral.
UCAAGUAAUUAAGUGCAUGUGGUGGAUGCCUUGGCAGUCAGAGGCGAUGAAAGACGUGAUAGCCUGCGAAAAGCUCCGGGGAGGCGGCAAAUAUCCUUUGAUCCGGAGAUGUCUGAAUGGGGGAACCCACCUACUUUAAGGUAGGUAUUGCAACAUGAAUACAUAGUGUUGCAAGGCGAACGAGGGGAAGUGAAACAUCUCAGUACCCUUAGGAAAAGAAAUCAAUUGAGAUUCCCUCAGUAGCGGCGAGCGAACGGGGAUCAGCCCAUUAAGUUAUGUGUGUUUUAGUGGAACGCUCUGGGAAGUGCGAACGUAGAGGGUGAUAUUCCCGUACACGAAAGGGCACACAUAAUGAUGACGAGUAGGGCGAGGCACGUGAAACCUUGUCUGAAUAUGGGGGGACCAUCCUCCAAGGCUAAAUACUCCUGACUGACCGAUAGUGAACCAGUACCGUGAGGGAAAGGCGAAAAGAACCCCUGUGAGGGGAGUGAAAUAGAUCCUGAAACCGCAUGCAUACAAGCAGUGGGAGCACCUUCGUGGUGUGACUGCGUACCUUUUGUAUAAUGGGUCAGCGACUUAUAUUCAGUAGCGAGGUUAACCGUAUAGGGGAGCCGUAGAGAAAUCGAGUCUUAAUAGGGCGUUUAGUUGCUGGGUAUAGACCCGAAACCAGGCGAUCUAUCCAUGAGCAGGUUGAAGGUUGGGUAACACUAACUGGAGGACCGAACCCACUGUCGUUGAAAAGCCAGGGGAUGACUUGUGGAUAGGGGUGAAAGGCUAAUCAAGCCUGGUGAUAGCUGGUUCUCCCCGAAAGCUAUUUAGGUAGCGCCUCGGACGAAUACCAUAGGGGGUAGAGCACUGUUUCGGCUAGGGGGUCAUCCCGACUUACCAAACCGAUGCAAACUCCGAAUACCUAUGAGUACUAUCCGGGAGACAGACUGCGGGUGCUAACGUCCGUAGUCAAGAGGAAAACAAUCCAGACCGCCAGCUAAGGCCCCAAAAUCAUAGUUAAGUGGGAAACGAUGUGGGAAGGCAUAGACAGCUAGGAGGUUGGCUUAGAAGCAGCCACCCUUUAAAGAAAGCGUAAUAGCUCACUAGUCGAGUCGGCCUGCGCGGAAGAUGUAACGGGGCUAAAACUAUGUGCCGAAGCUGCGGAUGUAUACUUUGUAUACGUGGUAGGGGAGCGUUCUGUAAGCCGAUGAAGGUGUGUUGAGAAGCAUGCUGGAGGUAUCAGAAGUGCGAAUGCUGACGUGAGUAACGACAAAACGGGUGAAAAACCCGUUCGCCGAAAGACCAAGGGUUCCAGUCCAACGUUAAUCGGGGCUGGGUGAGUCGACCCCUAAGGCGAGGCCGAAAGGCGUAGUCGAUGGGAAAAUGGUUAAUAUUCCAUUACUUCUGUGUAAUGCGAUGAGAGGACGGAGAAGGCUAAAUCAGCCUGGCGUUGGUUGUCCAGGUGAAAGGAUGUAGGCAUGUAUCUUAGGCAAAUCCGGGGUACUCUAUGCUGAGAUCUGAUAGCAAGCUGUACUUGUACAGCGAAGUGGUUGAUGCCAUGCUUCCAGGAAAAGUCUCUAAGCUUCAGUUACACAGGAAUCGUACCCGAAACCGACACAGGUGGUCAGGUCGAGUAGACCAAGGCGCUUGAGAGAACUCUGCUGAAGGAACUAGGCAAAAUGGUACCGUAACUUCGGGAGAAGGUACGCUGUUGUUGGUGAUGGAACUCGCUUCCUGAGCUGACGACAGCCGCAGAAACCAGGCCGCUGCAACUGUUUAUUAAAAACAUAGCACUCUGCAAACACGAAAGUGGACGUAUAGGGUGUGAUGCCUGCCCGGUGCUGGAAGGUUAAUUGAUGGGGUUAGCGUAAGCGAAGCUCUUGAUCGAAGCCCCAGUAAACGGCGGCCGUAACUAUAACGGUCCUAAGGUAGCGAAAUUCCUUGUCGGGUAAGUUCCGACCUGCACGAAUGGCAUAAUGAUGGCGGCGCUGUCUCCAGCAGAGGCUCAGUGAAAUCGAAAUCGCUGUGAAGAUGCAGUGUACCCGCGGCUAGACGGAAAGACCCCGUGAACCUUUACUGCAGCUUGACACUGAACUUUGACCUUACUUGUGUAGGAUAGGUGGGAGGCUUUGAAGCUGGAACGCUAGUUCCAGUGGAGCCGUCCUUGAAAUACCACCCUGGUAAUGUUGAGGUUCUAACUCUGUCCCGUGAUCCGGGACGAGGACCGUGUCUGGUGGGUAGUUUGACUGGGGCGGUCUCCUCCUAAAGAGUAACGGAGGAGUACGAAGGUGCGCUCAGCGUGGUCGGAAAUCACGCGUAGAGUAUAAAGGCAAAAGCGCGCUUAACUGCGAGACCCACAAGUCGAGCAGGUACGAAAGUAGGUCUUAGUGAUCCGGUGGUUCUGUAUGGAAGGGCCAUCGCUCAACGGAUAAAAGGUACUCUGGGGAUAACAGGCUGAUACCGCCCAAGAGUUCAUAUCGACGGCGGUGUUUGGCACCUCGAUGUCGGCUCAUCUCAUCCUGGGGCUGAAGCAGGUCCCAAGGGUAUGGCUGUUCGCCAUUUAAAGAGGUACGCGAGCUGGGUUUAGAACGUCGUGAGACAGUUCGGUCCCUAUCUACCGUGGGCGCUGGAAAUUUGAGAGGAUCUGCUCCUAGUACGAGUGGACCAGAGUGGACGAACCUCUGGUGUACCGGUUGUGACGCCAGUCGCAUCGCCGGGUAGCUAUGUUCGGAAGGGAUAACCGCUGAAAGCAUCUAAGCGGGAAGCCUACCUCAAGAUAAGAUUUCCCUAGGACUUUAUGUCCUCUAAAGAGCCGUUCGAGACUAGGACGUUGAUAGGUUGGAUGUGGAAGCAUAGUGAUAUGUGAAGCUGACCAAUACUAAUUGCUCGUGAGGCUUGACUAU